This 4598-nucleotide long non-coding RNA is filed under the name Anolis carolinensis (green anole). RNAcentral describes it as "lncRNA (ENSACAG00000045234.1)". The record is from RNAcentral. Lineage: Eukaryota; Metazoa; Chordata; Lepidosauria; Squamata; Anolidae.
UCAAUCAGGGCCAACUAACACCUCCCAACAAAGGAUUCCCCUCUAGGCGAGGAAUCGGACAGGCCUUGAAGCUACAAGACCAUUAAAUGCGAAUGAAGGUGAUUAAUGACAACAUUCACACUUGCCUCCAACAGACAAAAGAUCUUUUUUCCCACCCUGGACCUUCCACAGAUAUAUAAACCCCACUUGGAUAGUUUCCAACAGACCUCACAACCUCUGAGGAUGCCUGCCAUAGAUGCGGGCGAAACGUCAGGAAAGAAUGUUUCUGGAACAUGGUCACACAGACCGGAAAACUCACAGCAACACACCUCAUUUCCAGGAAGCGGAGAUCUUUGGAUGGAGCACAAAGUCAAGAUUUAACUCUCUGCGGCCCAUCCGAAAAGGAUGCCAGUCCCAAAAGGCAAAUGUUAGAUGAAUAUUGGAGUGUAUUCCCAGGUAUUGUGGCCUUUGAAAUUUCCAGGAAGGAAGGAAAGGUCUCUCCCUCCCUCCUGAUUUAUUUUAGGCUGCCAUCAGGGAUGCUAUACAAGUUUUCCCAUCCUUUCUUAGGUGAAAAACGUAGGCAACAAAUCCAGCCCAAGUUUGCCCAUAUCUGCACUUCAAAUCUAUGUGGAUUGGUCUACCUGCGAAAAUAGAGCAAAACUUUCUUCCUGAUGGCAGAUUUGCAGGGAUUUAUUCCGGAAGAGGAAUCUAGAACCGGCCUAUAUAAUGUUCUAGGUCUCCCAACCUCGCCUGUCUUUCCUCUUGUCUAGCACACAGUUGGCACUGUGCGAAGAUAGGAAUUCAUCUGGACACUUGACCACUCUCCAGUCCAGACUUUAUUUUGGUUUAAGAAAUCUAGAUUGGCAAAUUUGUGCUCUCUUUUGUCUGGAAUGGAGACAGUGAACACUCCCUUAGGCCAGAAUAUUGGGUGGGUGUUUGGGGGGAAUGCUCUGUCUUUGUUGGAUUUCCAGUUCAGGACAGCACUACACGAUUAAAGAGUUGUUAUUCCACUUUAAAUUCUAUUUCUUGCCUCCUCUUGGAUCCUGGGAUUUGCAGUUUAUCAUGCUGCGCCAGGGAGUUCUCGAGGAUUCUCAAAAGUAGAAUAACAACACUUUAAUAGUCAGAUAUCUCAUUGCAUAGGCAAACUUCGGCCCUCCAGGUGUUUGGGACUUCAACUUCAAGUCCCAAACACCUGGAGGGCCGAAGUUUGUUCAUGCCCAAUCUACAGUAUUAUAUGAUGCAGUUUUGCGAUGCAAAUUGGAAUUCAGAAUGGGAUUAUAUCGCAGUGUGGUCUUAAAUAAUCCAGUCCAAUGCAGUUUAUGAGGAUUCGGAAACUGGAUUAUAUGGCACUAUAGAUCCAGCCGAAUUUAGGAGCAGUCUUAUCCGACUUCAUGGCUACUGACCAUCCUUUCUUCCUCCGCAACCUCUUCAUUUCCUUCCUUUUUCAUCCAAAGCAAGGCACAAAAGCAUAGAGACGGGGCCAUCAAGGUCCCAUUUUUUGCUAUGGAACCGACUGAAAGGAAACAGGGUGUUGCUUUCUAUAGGUUUUCCUCCCCUUUGCCCUGUUAACCCCACUCUUUGGGAGGAAGAUGUCAUUCCCCUGACCCCAAACGAAGCUGCUGCUUUUUCUUUUCUUUUGUGGCCGAAACAAAAAGAAAGAAAGAGAGGAACCAGCGAAUAUUCCAGAAGCACUUUGGAUGUUUUUUUUUUGUUUUCCCAUGAUGACCAUGGAGGGUUUUUAUACAUCCGGUCGCCCUCCUACCGACUGAGCUAUUUUACUGUCUGUAAUUAAAACAAAAAAAAGAUGUUAAAAAAUAAAGUGACUAUUGAAAGAUCUGCAGGGUUUUCUCUUUUGGAAACGUGGUCCCUUUUCUACAUUAAGGAGGAUGGAUUUCUAAGUAACACUUUAACUGCUUAAUAUGGAAAUUUCCAAAACAUCUGGAUUCUGGAAUGCCUACGGAUGGAAUAAAAUACAGAUAGACCUUCCCCUCCCUUUUGGAAUAAUUAGAGCUGUAGUUUUAUGAAGGCUUCAGCCUUCUCUUCCAAAAAAUGCUAGCGCCUGAUCAAACUGCAAAUCCCAGAAUUCCAUGAGAUUGAGUACUUAAAAUUAUUACUGAUUGAUGAUGAUAAAUGGAAGCUCUUAUGUGUGCCCGCAAUCCAGUGUCACCCGCACAAUAAUGUGCCACUCAGGUUUGCAGAACUAAAAUACAGGAACUUUACUAAUUCCAAGAGAUCAAAAAAGUAGUAUUUACAGUGAUCCCUCUGAUUGCUUACAGAAGUCCACAAUCAUAAACAGUCCUUUCCCAGUCCACAAAUCUGCUUCAAAGAAGAAUACAGUUCUGGUUCUUCAACCUCUUUUCUCAGCAGCAAACAGGCCUCAAAAUAGCAAGGCCUCUCUGAGCACACAGCUCUCUCUACUAGCAAUUUGAGCCACCGGAGGCUCCAUUAUUAUUAUUAUUUUAUUAUGACACAGCAAACAAUAUAGAUAUGCUGGAUUUCAUAUCACAAAAUCACAAGUCGAACACUUCCCAAGUGUCUAGGACUGUGUGAUGUAUUUUCGGAUGUUGCACACAGAUCCCAGUAGGGUGGCCUUUUGCAGUUGACAGAUCGUAAUUUUGUCAAUGUCUAUUGUUUCCAAAUGCCGGCUGAGAUCUUUUGGCACGGCACCCAAUGUGCCCAUCACCACCGGGACCACCUGCACUGGUUUCUCCCAGAGUCUUUGAAGUUCUGAUAGCAGCUGAGUUUUUCCUGUUGUUUUUCGUCAAUGCGACUGUCACCUGGGAUGGCAACAUCAAUGAUCCAAACCUGUUUCUUUUCCACAACUGUGAUGUCUGAUGUGUUGUGUUCCAGAACUUUAUCAGUCUGGAUUCGGAAGUCCCACAGUAUCUUUGCGUGCUCGUUUUCCAAUACUUUUGCAGGUUUGUGAUCCCACCAGUUCUUUGCUGCGGGGAGGUGGUACUUGAGGCAUAAGUUCCAAUGGAUCAUUUGGGCCACAUAGUUGUGCCUCUGUUUGUAGUCUGUCUGUGCAAUUUUCUUACAGCAGCUGAGGAUAUGAUGAAUGGUUUCGUCGGUUUCCUUGCACAGUCUGCAUUUUGGGUCAUCAGCUGAUUUUUCGAUCUUGGCCUUAAUUGCCUUUGUUCUGAUGUCUUGCUCCUGGGUUGCAAGGAUCAGGCCUUCUGUCUCCUUCUUCAGGGUCCCAUUCGUGAGCCAGAGCCAGGUCUUCUCCUUAUCAGCUUUUCCUUCAGUUUUGUCAAGGAACUUUCCAUGCAAUGUUUUGUUGUGCCAGCUGUCAGCUCUAGUUUGUAGUGCGGUUUUCUUGUACUGGUUUUUUUUUGUCUGCUGUGGUUUGAGGAGUUUCUGAUUUUUGACUUCAAUCAAAGCAGGUUCUUUACUUUGCUUUACAUAUGCUGCCAGGGCAUGUUCUUCUUCUUUGACUGCUUAUUUUACUUGUAAGAGUCCUCUGCCACCAGAUCUUCUAGGCAGAUAUAGCCGGUCAACAUCACUGCGAGGGUGCAGUGAAUGAUGAAUGGUCAUGAGUUUUCUUGUUUUUCUGUCCAAAUUGUCCAGUUCCAUCUGUGUCCAGUUUAUAAUGCCAGCAGUAUAUCUUAUGACAGGUAUGGCCCAGGUGUUUAUGCCUUGAUGGUGUUGCCUUCAUUGAGCUUGCAUUUGAGAAUUACGAUCUGUCAACUGCAAAAGGCACCCUACUGGGAUCUGAUGUUUUAUUGUUGGUUGAUUUGCUUGUUGUUUUUGUUUGGAUUUUGCGCUGUUGUGUCCGGGCAUGGCCCCAUGUAAGCCGCCCCGAGUCCCUUUGGGGAGAUGGGGCGGGGUAUAAGAAUAAAGUUAGUUAUUAUUAUGAUCUGCGCACAUCAUCACACACUCCUAAACACUUGGGAAGUGUUCGACUUGUGAUUUUGUGAUACGAAAUCAUGCAUAUCUAUCUUGUUUGCUGUGUCAUACAAUGUCGUUGUGAUAAUAAUAAUAAUAAUAAUAAUAAUAAUAAUAAUAAUAAUAAUCACAGUCCUAGACACUUGGGAAGUGUUCGACUUGUGAUUUUGUGAUACGAAAUCAUGCAUAUCUAUCUUGUUUGCUGUAUCAUACAAUAUCGUUGUGAUAAUAAUAAUAAUAAUAAUAAUAAUAAUAAUAAUAAUAAUAAUCACAGUCCUAGACACUUGGGAAGUGUUCGACUUGUGAUUUUGUGAUACGAAAUCAUGCAUAUCUAUCUUGUUUGCUGUAUCAUACAAUGUCGUUGUGAUAAUAAUAAUAAUAAUAAUAAUAAUAAUCACAGUCCUAGACACUUGGGAAGUGUUCGACUUGUGAUUUUGUGAUACGAAAUCCAGCAUGUCUAUCUUGUUUGCUGUGUCAUAAUAAAUAAUAAUAAUAAUGAAAUCUCAGCUGGCAUUUGGAAACAAUAGACAUUGACAAAAUUACGAUCUGCCAACUGCAAAAGGCCACCUUACUGGGAUUUGUGUGCAUCAUCCGAAAAUACAUCACACAGUCCUAGACACUUGGGAAGUGUUCGACUUGUGAUUUUGUGAUAUGAAAUCAUGCAUAUCUAUCUUGUUUGCUGUGUCAUACAAUGUCGUUGUGAUAAUAAUAAUAAUAAUAAUAAUAAUAAUAAU